UCUUUGUUAGCUUGUGCCAUAAAAGCAAAAUAUUACCCACGUGAUUUUAUGCAUGCUAGUUUGAGAGCUUACCCUUCUUACCUAUGGAAGAGUAUCUGGUCUACGAAGGGGUUGUUGCAUAUAGGCCUUUGUUGGCGCGCGGGAACAGGAUCCAAUAUAUGGAUCUUGGAUGAUGUUUGGAUUUCGAGCUUGCCUGAUAGAUGUUUGCAACAAACUGGGGUUAGUUCCCCAUAUUUACUUUUUUCGGAGUUCAUUAGUCAUUAUUCAAGGCAAUAGGACGAGCAAAGACUUACCAGUGUCCUGGGCUGAGCCAUUGCAAAUAGGGUGUUAUGUAUUCCCCUUGCUCAGGAUGCCCAUGAAGACUUCUUAGUUGGGGGGUUGAGCCUUCAGGAAAAUUCUAUGUCUGUAAUGGUUAUAGACUCCUUAUUCUUCGAACUAUUUUGAGACUACAGACUCUUAUAAACUAUUUUACAACAAAUUAUGGUAGUUGUAACUUCCGACAAAAAUCAAAACUAUAGUAUGGCGAAUUUUCAACAAUUUUAUUCCUAACUACUAUAACCUAUAUAACAGAAGAUUGCGGGCAUCCACUAUGUGCCCUUGUGUCUCUGCCGAGACUCUGGAACAUAUUUUUCGCAAUUGCCCUUCGAUUUUGGAUAUUUGGGAGUCCUACACAUUACGUGGCCAAAUGAAUUAUCGGAUGUCUCAUUUCAUGAUUGGCUACUGUAUGUUUUCACUGUGUCUACUGGUGAGGUUAUUUGGGAAAUGGUGUGUACUUUGCGGUUUAUUUGGCAUGCGCGGAAUUGACAGAUUCAUGACAAUGAUAUUAUCCAAAUGCAUUUAAUUGUUCGUAGGGUACAGGUCUAUCUAUUGGAAUAUGACGCGGUAAAUGAGAAGUUACCUGGUUGACUGAUCGGUGUUGAGCGGUGGCGGCCUCCGAAUCUAACAUGUGUAAAAGUGAACUUUGAUGUUGUUUUCCAUGCGUCUGCAAAGACUUCCUGUGCGGGUAUUGUCAUUAGGGAUCAUUUGGGCAUGGUGAUGGGUCCACAAUCAGUGGUCACGUACCUUCGUCUUUUGCUGCAGAGGCCCUGGCUUGCUAUCAUGGAUUCGACUGGUUCUGGGGCUGGGGUUGCAUGAGGCUAUUUUUGAAGGUGAUUCUCUCAUGGCGAUCCGCAAGAUCCUAUCUCCUUAUCAUGAUAUGUCGGCCCUUGGGCCUUACAUCAAAGGUAUCAAUGCAAUGGCUGUGUAGUUUCGUUGGUGUUGAUUCGUGCAUGUUCCCCGAGCUACAAAUCAGGUGGCCCAUCUAUUGGUAGCUGCGAGUCUCCCGGGAGGGGAUCAUGCUUAAUAGGCGGGAGGGGUGCCUCUCUUUGCUUCGACAAUAGUGGAUAAUGAUAGUUGUGCCUUCCGAUCGGAUGAGUGUGGGAGAUGGAGUAUCUUUUUACAAGGAUCUGAUUCGGGGGUGGGGAUUGGAGGUGGGAGGAGCUCAAGAGUUUGUGGAAUCCGCGGGGUUGGGGAAGAGUUUGAUCGUCUCUGUUGGGGUACAGGUUCUCGUUCGUUAAUCAAGCCUCUUGGGUGUGGUAGGUAGUGGUUCGACGAUCUCUUAACGGUUACCGGAGAAGAUUUUCUGAUCUGUCGACAUCAGUGGCGUCCCUUCAGCUUUUUGUUUUCUUUCUAGAAGGUUUAGAUGACAACUCAAAAUUAGGAUUUGGCAUUGCUGUUUUUGCCUUUUGUUUGGGCUGUUUAAUCUGGACUUUUGUUUGGGUUUUUAGGGUUUUUUUUUGGAUUUAUUUUUUUUCUUUGUUUUUGGACUGUUUUCUGUACUAGUUUCGUUUUUAAUCAAAGCCCAGUUUCCUUUAAAAAAAAAUAUUUCAUCAACUAUUUGGUCAUCUUAUUCCUUUCUUAAACUCUCCUUUCUCAUUCGCAAACAGUUGAUUUGAAUUAAAUGUUUGUAUUAAAUUUUCAUUCAUUCAACCACAACUAGAGCAACCCA
RNAcentral lists this long non-coding RNA (1987 nucleotides) under Gossypium barbadense (sea-island cotton). RNAcentral's name for it is "long non-coding RNA (GBAR_LNC018727)". The record is from RNAcentral. Lineage: Eukaryota; Viridiplantae; Streptophyta; Magnoliopsida; Malvales; Malvaceae.